UGGGAUGGAGCUCAGUGGCAGAGCAUUUGCCUAGCAUGCUCGAGGCCCUGGUUUCAAUCCCCAGCACCACAA
This 72-nucleotide transfer RNA is filed under the name Marmota marmota marmota (Alpine marmot). It matches the Rfam family "tRNA". Rfam says of the family: Transfer RNA (tRNA) molecules are approximately 80 nucleotides in length. Their secondary structure includes four short double-helical elements and three loops (D, anti-codon, and T loops). RNAcentral also lists the same sequence under 1 other name. Lineage: Eukaryota; Metazoa; Chordata; Mammalia; Rodentia; Sciuridae. The record is from Rfam by way of RNAcentral.